RNAcentral lists this signal recognition particle RNA (262 nucleotides) under Nomascus leucogenys (northern white-cheeked gibbon). Its description in RNAcentral is "Metazoan signal recognition particle RNA (ENSNLEG00000029251.1)". It matches the Rfam family "Metazoan signal recognition particle RNA". Rfam says of the family: The signal recognition particle (SRP) is a universally conserved ribonucleoprotein. It is involved in the co-translational targeting of proteins to membranes. Lineage: Eukaryota; Metazoa; Chordata; Mammalia; Primates; Hylobatidae. The record is from RNAcentral.
GCCGGGCAUGGUGGCAGGCGCUUGUAGUCCCAGCUACUUGGGAGGCUGAGGCAGGAGAAUGGCGUGAACCCAGGAGGUGGAGCUUGCAGUGAGCCAAGAUCAUGCCACUGCACUCCAGCCUGGGUGACAAGAACGAGACUCCGUUUCUUUUUUUUUUUUUUUGAGACGGAGUCUCGCUGUGUCACCAAGGCUGGAGUGCAGUGGCAUGAUCUUGGCUCACUGCAAGCUCCACCUCCUGGGUUCACGCCAUUCUCCUGCCUCA